Molecule: ribosomal RNA, 551 nt
Filed under: uncultured archaeon
Lineage: Archaea
Description: bacterial SSU rRNA
Rfam family: Archaeal small subunit ribosomal RNA
Source: RNAcentral
GGGUGCAGCAGGCGCGAAAACUUUACAAUGCGGGAAACCGCGAUAAGGGGACACUGAGUGCCAGCAUAUUAUGUUGGCUGUCCACAUGUGUAAACGGCCUGUGAUAGCAAGGGCCGGGCAAGACCGGUGCCAGCCGCCGCGGUAACACCGGCGGCCCGAGUGGUGAUCAUUAUUAUUGGGUCUAAAGGGUCCGUAGCCGGUUUGAUCAGUCUUUUGGGAAAUCUGACAGCUCAACUGUUAGGCUUCUAAGGGAUACUGUCAAACUUGGGACCGGGAGAGGUAAGAGGUACCACAAGGGUAGGAGUGAAAUCUUGUAAUCCUUGUGGGACCACCAGUGGCGAAGGCGUCUUACCAGAACGGGUCCGACGGUGAGGGACGAAAGCUGGGGGCACGAACCGGAUUAGAUACCCGGGUAGUCCCAGCCGUAAACGAUGCUCGCUAGGUGUCAUGGACGGUGCGACCGUUCAUGGUGCCGCAGGGAAGCCGUGAAGCGGGCCACCUGGGAAGUACGGCCGCAAGGCUGAAACUUAAAGGAAUUGGCGGGGGAGCAC